CCUACGGGUGGCAGCAGUAAGGAAUAUUGGUCAAUGGACGAAAGUCUGAACCAGCCAUCCCGCGUGCAGGAUGAAAGCCCUAUGGGUUGUAAACUGCUUUUAGCAGAGAAGAAAAGCUUUCAUUAAUGAGAGUCUGACGGUAUCUGCAGAAUAAGCACCGGCUAACUCCGUGCCAGCAGCCGCGGUAAUACGGAGGGUGCGAGCGUUAUUGGGUAUUACGGGUGCGUAAGGGGGGUAUUACGGAGGUGGUGAAAUCUUGUCGCUUAACGAUACAAUUGCCAAUGAUACUGGUACUCUUGAAUUGGGUUGAGGUUAGCGGAAUGUGACAUGUAGCGGUGAAAUGCAUAGAUAUGUCAUGGAACACCAAUUGCGAAGGCAGCUAACCGGGCCUUGAUUGACGCUGAGGCACGAAAGCGUGGGUAGCGAACAGGAUUAGAUACCCUUGUAGUC
RNAcentral lists this ribosomal RNA (450 nucleotides) under uncultured bacterium. Its description in RNAcentral is "partial 16S ribosomal RNA". It matches the Rfam family "Bacterial small subunit ribosomal RNA", at positions 338 to 795 of the family's 1533-position model. The record is from RNAcentral.